Gasterosteus aculeatus aculeatus (three-spined stickleback) is the source of this 1643-nucleotide long non-coding RNA. Lineage: Eukaryota; Metazoa; Chordata; Actinopteri; Perciformes; Gasterosteidae. The record is from Ensembl.
GUAAUUGCUGAAAUCGCUGUUCAAGAUAAGUAUCGAUUUUCAUUAGAAUUAAUUGAUGACGCCGAUAAAAGAUGCACAAUAAAAACCAAAGGUAGCAGCAGAUGUUGGUUGUCCGGGUGCACAUUCAUCAUACCGUAGCUACCUAUGGAAGAAUGUGUUUUUUUUCCACAAUGUAAUCAUCGUUCAUACAUCUGAAUCCUCAAUUGAUCUAAAUCACUUAAAAAGAAAAAGGCGAUAAUGAACUGCAGCUGCACGACGGCGAACUCCAGGGGGAAACAUGAGGACAUCAUGGCAGAUAAAGUCCCAACACCGAUAUGAAAACACACACAGCGUCCACUGACUGGUGUGUGUGAGUUGGGGGGUAUCAACCCCCCCCCUCCCAUUUAACAUCAGUGUAAACAAGGCCAACAAAGGCCAGAUUAGAAUAACAGUGCGUCUGCGUGGAGGAAGUCACCAAUUAUUUGGGCAUGCAGCAUUUGCAGCAAGCGGUUCCUUAUUUAGCAUCAGAAGAGUUGAAUGCAACUUCUGCCUGCAGCAUACAGACACACACACACACACACGCGCGCGCACACACACAGACACACGCACACGCACACACACACGAAUCACAACUCCCUAAUAAACCCAGCAGCCUUAAAUAAUUUAUCAAGUAUGGAUUUUGCUUAAAAUAAAUGACUUUGUUUUCAAAGGGUGCUUUCACUUAUCAUACGUUAAUGAUGAGAGGAAUAAAUAACCUGAAAAAAACUUUGAAAACAAAGAAACGGAAUGAAGGAAAAACAAUAGAACAAUUUUUUACAAUCUUCAAAAACAACGAUUGUUUUAUGCUUUUCUGUCUAUGAUCUGAAAAUGUGUUUCAAGGUUGUAAGGUUGAUCAUUUAAUCACAAAACACACUGUGUCUCUCUUACACACACACACACACACACACACACACACACACAGAUACUCAGUUUAUGGCUCUCUUCUUCAUUUAUGUCUGCAGCUGAUUGAUUUAAUUAGUUUAACAUAUAUAUGCAUAAUUAAUGCCAAAUAUUACCAAUUCUAAAUAUAUCCCAACACACCUUGAGUGCACAAUUAUUUUUCAGACGCCCUGAAAACAUACAUUCUAUCAGCAUUUAAAAAAAUAAUUGUUCCCUUCUAUUCUUCAUUAAAUAUUCAUAUUUUACUGAAACACAUCUGAGAAAAAUACAAUAUUUACAUGUGCUUGUGUUUGGGGCUGUUUUGACGAUGAUGAUAUAUAAAAAAAUAUAUAUAUAUAUAUAUAUAUAUAUAUAUAUAUAUAUAUAUAUAUAUAUAUAUAUAUAUAUAUAUAUAUAUAUAUAUAAAAUAAACCCUGAUCACAGCAGAGGGCAUUUAGUAUGGUUUUAUGGAUGGAAUAAAGAAAUAGGAUUACAGAAUGCAUUGGUUCAUCUUCUGCCCUCCUGUUGUGCAUGUAAUAGUGGAAUGUAUAUAUUCCACAGGACAACCUUUGAGCUCUGUGUUGCGAUGUUUUAGCGCUUCAUGCUCGCUGCAGACUGUGGGUAUCAGUUAUCACAAGCUGGUGUCGAUGAAUCCACUUAUUGAGAAUGUGAGAUCUACCCAGGGUGCUGAAGAAAAUAUAGAAAACGCUCUAAAUGUUUUCAUUGUGAUGAUGAAAGGUGAAAAG